GGAGGGGUAGCGAAGUGGCUAAACGCGGCGGACUGUAAAUCCGCUCCCUCUGGGUUCGCAGGUUCGAAUCCUGCCCCCUCCA
This 82-nucleotide transfer RNA is filed under the name Melghiribacillus thermohalophilus. It matches the Rfam family "tRNA". From Rfam's summary of the family: Transfer RNA (tRNA) molecules are approximately 80 nucleotides in length. Lineage: Bacteria; Bacillati; Bacillota; Bacilli; Caryophanales; Bacillaceae. The record is from Rfam by way of RNAcentral.